AAUUCGCCCUUAGAGUUUGAUCCUGGCUCAGGACGAACGCUGGCGGCGUGCCUAAUACAUGCAAGUCGGACGAACCAGGAAGGGAACUUGUUCCUUUCCUUGGUUAGUGGCAGACGGGUGAGUAACACGUGGAGAACCUACCUUUCAGCGGGGGAUAACCAUUGGAAACGAUGACUAAUACCGCAUAGGACUUUGAGUCACCUGACUUAAAGAGGAAAGACGGCUUCGGCUGUCACUGAAAGAUGGCUCCGCGGUGCAUUAGCUAGAUGGUAAGGUAACGGCUUACCAAGGCAAUGAUCAGUAGCCGGCCUGAGAGGGUGAUCGGCCACAUUGGGACUGAGACACGGCCCAAACUCCUACGGGAGGCAGCAGUGGGGAAUAUUGCACAAUGGAGGGAACUCUGAUGCAGCGACGCCGCGUGAGCGAAGAAGGAAUUCGUUUCGUAAAGCUCUGUCCUAUGGGAAGAUAAUGACGGUACCAUAGAAGAAAGCCCCGGCUAACUACGUGCCAGCAGCCGCGGUAAUACGUAGGGGGCGAGCGUUGUCCGGAAUUAUUGGGCGUAAAGGGUUCGUAGGCGGUAAUACAUGUCAGAUGUGAAAUCUUGUGGCUUAACCACAUCAAGCAUCUGAAACUGUAUAACUUGAGUGGAGGAGAGGUAAGUGGAAUUCCUAGUGUAGCGGUGAAAUGCGUAGAUAUUAGGAAGAAUACCAGUAGCGAAGGCGACUUACUGGCCUCUAACUGACGCUGAUGAACGAAAGCGUGGGUAGCAAACAGGAUUAGAUACCCUGGUAGUCCACGCCGUA
This 803-nucleotide ribosomal RNA is filed under the name uncultured bacterium. RNAcentral's name for it is "bacterial SSU rRNA". It matches the Rfam family "Bacterial small subunit ribosomal RNA", at positions 1 to 804 of the family's 1533-position model. The record is from RNAcentral.